Molecule: transfer RNA, 64 nt
Filed under: Cavia porcellus (domestic guinea pig)
Lineage: Eukaryota; Metazoa; Chordata; Mammalia; Rodentia; Caviidae
Rfam family: tRNA
About the family: Transfer RNA (tRNA) molecules are approximately 80 nucleotides in length. Their secondary structure includes four short double-helical elements and three loops (D, anti-codon, and T loops).
Source: Rfam by way of RNAcentral
GGGGAUAUAGCUCAGCGGCAUAAGCACUUGCCUUGCAAGCAAGUGGUUGUGAGUUCAAUCCCCG